This is a non-coding RNA of Rattus norvegicus (Norway rat), 69 nucleotides long. Lineage: Eukaryota; Metazoa; Chordata; Mammalia; Rodentia; Muridae. The record is from Rfam.
GGGGAUCUAGCUCAGUGGUAGAGCGCUUGCCUAGCAAGCACAAGGCCCUGGGUUCGGUCCCCAGCUCCG